Molecule: ribosomal RNA, 1955 nt
Filed under: Citrobacter freundii
Lineage: Bacteria; Pseudomonadati; Pseudomonadota; Gammaproteobacteria; Enterobacterales; Enterobacteriaceae
Description: partial 23S ribosomal RNA
Rfam family: Bacterial large subunit ribosomal RNA
Source: RNAcentral
AAAAGAACCCCGGCGAGGGGAGUGAAAAAGAACCUGAAACCGUGUACGUACAAGCAGUGGGAGCCUCUUUAUGGGGUGACUGCGUACCUUUUGUAUAAUGGGUCAGCGACUUAUAUUCUGUAGCAAGGUUAACCGUAUAGGGGAGCCGAAGGGAAACCGAGUCUUAACUGGGCGUUAAGUUGCAGGGUAUAGACCCGAAACCCGGUGAUCUAGCCAUGGGCAGGUUGAAGGUUGGGUAACACUAACUGGAGGACCGAACCGACUAAUGUUGAAAAAUUAGCGGAUGACUUGGGGCUGGGGGUGAAAGGCCAAUCAAACCGGGAGAUAGCUGGUUCUCCCCGAAAGCUAUUUAGGUAGCGCCUCGUGUAUUCAUCUUCGGGGGUAGAGCACUGUUUCGGCUAGGGGGUCAUCCCGACUUACCAACCCGAUGCAAACUGCGAAUACCGAAGAAUGUUAUCACGGGAGACACACGGCGGGUGCUAACGUCCGUCGUGAAGAGGGAAACAACCCAGACCGCCAGCUAAGGUCCCAAAGUCAUGGUUAAGUGGGAAACGAUGUGGGAAGGCACAGACAGACAGGAUGUUGGCUUAGAAGCAGCCAUCAUUUAAAGAAAUCGUAAUAGCUAACUGGUCGAGUCGGCCUGCGCGGAAGAUGUAACGGGGCUAAACCAUGCACCGAAGCUGCGGCAGCGACACUAUGUGUUGUUGGGUAGGGGAGCGUUCUGUAAGCCGUUGAAGGUGUAUCGUGAGGUAUGCUGGAGGUAUCAGAAGUGCGAAUGCUGACAUAAGUAACGAUAAUGCGGGUGAAAAACCCGCACGCCGGAAGACCAAGGGUUCCUGUCCAACGUUAAUCGGGGCAGGGUGAGUCGACCCCUAAGGCGAGGCCGAGAGGCGUAGUCGAUGGGAAACAGGUUAAUAUUCCUGUACUUGGUGUUACUGCGAAGGGGGGACGGAGAAGGCUAUGUUAGCCGGGCGACGGUUGUCCCGGUUUAAGCAUGUAGGCGGAGGUUCCAGGUAAAUCCGGUACCUUUUUAACGCUGAGGUGUGAUGACGAGGCACUACGGUGCUGAAGUAACAAAUGCCCUGCUUCCAGGAAAAGCCUCUAAGCAUCAGGUAACACGAAAUCGUACCCCAAACCGACACAGGUGGUCAGGUAGAGAAUACCAAGGCGCUUGAGAGAACUCGGGUGAAGGAACUAGGCAAAAUGGUGCCGUAACUUCGGGAGAAGGCACGCUGAUAUGUAGGUGAAGCGGUUUACCCGNNNNNNNNNNNNNNNNNNNNNNNNNNNNNNNNNNNNNNNNNNNNNNNNNNNNNNNNNNNNNNNNNNNNNNNNNGAACUCGGGUGAAGGAACUAGGCAAAAUGGUGCCGUAACUUCGGGAGAAGGCACGCUGAUAUGUAGGUGAAGCGGUUUACCCGUGGAGCUGAAAUCAGUCGAAGAUACCAGCUGGCUGCAACUGUUUAUUAAAAACACAGCACUGUGCAAACACGAAAGUGGACGUAUACGGUGUGACGCCUGCCCGGUGCCGGAAGGUUAAUUGAUGGGGUUAUCCGUAAGGAGAAGCUCUUGAUCGAAGCCCCGGUAAACGGCGGCCGUAACUAUAACGGUCCUAAGGUAGCGAAAUUCCUUGUCGGGUAAGUUCCGACCUGCACGAAUGGCGUAAUGAUGGCCAGGCUGUCUCCACCCGAGACUCAGUGAAAUUGAACUCGCUGUGAAGAUGCAGUGUACCCGCGGCAAGACGGAAAGACCCCGUGAACCUUUACUAUAGCUUGACACUGAACACUGGUCCUUGAUGUGUAGGAUAGGUGGGAGGCUUUGAAGUGUGGACGCCAGUCUGCAUGGAGCCAUCCUUGAAAUACCACCCUUUAAUGGCUGGUGUUCUAACGUGGACCCGUAAUCCGGGUUGCGGACAGUGUCUGGUGGGUAGUUUGACUGGGGCGGUCUCCUCCUAAAGAGU